AGGAUGAACGCUGGCGGCGUGCCUAACACAUGCAAGUCGAACGUCCUGUCUCGCAAGAGGCAGGGAGUGGCGGACGGGUGAGUACCACGUGGGUCAUCUACCGUGAGGUGAGGAAUACCGGCGAGAAAUCGCCGACAAGACCGCAUAGCCUCGGUGCAAGUUGAGCAAAGCUCUUUCGAGAGAGGGAGCGCCACACGAGGAGCCUGCGCCCGAUUAGCUAGCUGGUGGAGUAACGGUUCACCAGGGCGACGAUCGGUAGCUGGUCUGAGAGGACGAUCAGCCACACUGGGAUUGAGAACGGCCCAGACUCCGUACGGGGGGCAGCAGUGAGGAAUUUUCGUCAAUGGGGCAACCCUGAACGAGCAACGCCGCGUGCAGGAAGAAGGUUUUCGGAUCGUAAACUGCUUUUCGUCGGGAAGAGAACGGACGGUACCCGAGGAAUCAGCCCCGGCUAACUACGUGCCAGCAGCCGC
RNAcentral lists this ribosomal RNA (473 nucleotides) under uncultured bacterium. RNAcentral describes it as "SSU rRNA". It matches the Rfam family "Bacterial small subunit ribosomal RNA", at positions 26 to 518 of the family's 1533-position model. The record is from RNAcentral.